RNAcentral lists this microRNA precursor (57 nucleotides) under Microcaecilia unicolor. RNAcentral describes it as "Mun-Mir-10-P2d_pre stem-loop". The record is from RNAcentral. Lineage: Eukaryota; Metazoa; Chordata; Amphibia; Gymnophiona; Siphonopidae.
AACCCGUAGAUCCGAACUUGUGGUCUAAUCUCUCACAAGCUCGUAUCUGCAGGGAUG